Sorex araneus (European shrew) is the source of this 412-nucleotide long non-coding RNA. RefSeq lists it as uncharacterized. The record is from RefSeq and is a predicted model, not a curated record. The transcript has 3 exons. Lineage: Eukaryota; Metazoa; Chordata; Mammalia; Eulipotyphla; Soricidae.
UCAAGGGACCAUAUGGGAUGCUGGGAAUUGAACCCGGGUCGGCUGCGUGCAAGGCAAUCGCCCUACCCGCUGUGCUAUUGCUCCAGCCCCACAGACUGAUUUUCAUCAGCCUCUCCCAGAUUUGCAGAGGAAUUGGUCCCCUCCAAAGAUGAAGCUACCUCCCUUUGGCUGAUUUCAGCUCAUCCUUGAAGUCUUGGCCUGGGGCCAUUUCUGGGAACUCUCGCUGACCACUCUAGGCGGGAGCUGCCAGCAAGACUGCCUUGGAGUUAAAUCCUUUAAUUAAAAUACCCCAGACUAAAACCUUUUGGUAGUGAAAGGAGGGCAGCCGCUGGGCCCGGAAGAAUGGCAGAGCUCAGGUUGUCCCCGCAGGAGGGCCUGCCAGGAGACAGAGGUGCCCCGCAGCCUCAGGUCA